RNAcentral lists this unclassified non-coding RNA (330 nucleotides) under plant metagenome. Its description in RNAcentral is "partial contains 5.8S ribosomal RNA, internal transcribed spacer 2, and large subunit ribosomal RNA". The stretch from base 1 to 105 matches the Rfam family "5.8S ribosomal RNA", at positions 50 to 154 of the family's 154-position model. The record is from RNAcentral.
GAAAUGCGAUAAUUAAUGUGAAUUGCAGAAUUCAGUGAAUCAUCGAGUCUUUGAACGCACAUUGCGCCCCCUGGUAUUCCGGGGGGCAUGCCUGUCCGAGCGUCAUUGCUGCCCUCAAGCACGGCUUGUGUGUUGGGCUUCCGUCCCUGGCAACGGGGACGGGCCCAAAAGGCAGUGGCGGCACCAUGUCUGGUCCUCGAGCGUAUGGGGCUUUGUCACCCGCUCCCGUAGGUCCAGCUGGCAGCUAGCCUCGCAACCAAUCUUUUUAACCAGGUUGACCUCGGAUCAGGUAGGGAUACCCGCUGAACUUAAGCAUAUCAAUAAGCGGAG